GCUCUUCGCAGGGAAGAAAACUACUUAAUAAUACUAGUGAGGCUGACGGUACCUUGAUAAGAAGCACGGCUAACUACGUGCCAGCAGCCGCGGUAAUACGUAGGGUGCGAGCGUUAAUCGGAAUUACUGGGCGUAAAGCGUGCGCAGGCGGUUUUGUAAGUCAGAUGUGAAAUCCCCGAGCUCAACUUGGGAACUGCGUUUGAAACUACAAGACUAGAAUAUGUCAGAGGGGGGUAGAAUUCCACGUGUAGCAGUGAAAUGCGUAGAGAUGUGGAGGAAUACCAAUGGCGAAGGCAGCCCCCUGGGAUAAUAUUGACGCUCAUGCACGAAAGCGUGGGGAGCAAACAGGAUUAGAUACCCUGGUAGUCCACGCCCUAAACGAUGUCUACUAGUUGUUGGUGGAGUAAAAUCCAUGAGUAACGCAGCUAACGCGUGAAGUAGACCGCCUGGGGAGUACGGUCGCAAGAUUAAAACUCAAAUGAAUUGACGGGGGCCCGCACAAGCGGUGGAUUAUGUGGAUUAAUUCGAUGCAACGCGAAAAACCUUACCUGGCCUUGACAUGUACCGAAUUUGGGAGAGAUUCCUUAGUGCUCGAAAGAGAGCGGUAACACAGGUGCUGCAUGGCUGUCGUCAGCUCGUGUCGUGAGAUGUUGGGUUAAGUCCCGCAACGAGCGCAACCCUUGCCAAUAAUUGCCAUCAUUUAGUUGGGCACUUUAUUGGGACUGCCGGUGACAAACCGGAGGAAGGUGGGGAUGACGUCAAGUCCUCAUGGCCCUUAUGGCCAGGGCUUCACACGUAAUACAAUGGUCGGUACAGAGGGUUGCCAACCCGCGAGGGGGAGCCAAUCCCAGAAAGCCGAUCGUAGUCCGGAUUGUAGUCUGCAACUCGACUACAUGAAGUCGGAAUCGCUAGUAAUCGCGGAUCAGCAUGUCGCGGUGAAUACGUUCCCGGGCCUUGUACACACCGCCCGUCACACCAUGGGAGUGGGUUUUACCAGAAGUAGGUAGUCUAACCGCAAGGGGGACGCU
This 1028-nucleotide ribosomal RNA is filed under the name uncultured bacterium. Its description in RNAcentral is "bacterial SSU rRNA". It matches the Rfam family "Bacterial small subunit ribosomal RNA", at positions 431 to 1454 of the family's 1533-position model. The record is from RNAcentral.